CAUUUUGACGUUAGCUGCAGAAGAAGCACCGGCUAACUCCGUGCCAGCAGCCGCGGUAAUACGGAGGGUGCGAGCGUUAAUCGGAAUUACUGGGCGUAAAAGCGCAUGCAGGUGGUUUGUUAAGUCAGAUGUGAAAAGCCCGGGGCUCAACCUCGGAAUUGCAUUUGAAACUGGCAAACUAGAGUACUGUAGAGGGGGUAGAAUUUCAGGUGUAGCGGUGAAAUGCGUAGAGAUCUGAAGGAAUACCGGUGGCGAAGGCGGCCCCCUGGACAGAUACUGACACUCAGAUUGCGAAAGCGUGGGGAGCAAACAGGAUUAGAUACCCUGGUAG
Molecule: ribosomal RNA, 331 nt
Filed under: uncultured bacterium
Lineage: Bacteria
Description: bacterial SSU rRNA
Rfam family: Bacterial small subunit ribosomal RNA
Source: RNAcentral